Molecule: long non-coding RNA, 7156 nt
Filed under: Daucus carota (carrot)
Lineage: Eukaryota; Viridiplantae; Streptophyta; Magnoliopsida; Apiales; Apiaceae
Description: long non-coding RNA (DCAR_LNC003991)
Source: RNAcentral
UGCAAAAGAAUGUCUGGCUUGCAAAACGUACAUUAUUUUUUGGAUUUUCAAUGAAAUAGCACUAUUCAAAUAACAUACUUUAUAAAAUAUAAUGUUGUUAAUGUUUUGGUGCAGAACAUGCAUCGUUUCCGAGGAUUCUGAUAAAAAGUGAUUUUGGAGGUCUCCGAUAAAAAGUGGUCUUCAUAGAACUUUACUCUCUAUAUCACAAACCUCCUUAAAAUACAAUAUAAAAACUAAAAAAAAUCUUAAAAUUAUAUUUAAAUAUAGCAAAAAUUGUAUUUAAAUCGUUAGGAGAUGUAGAAUAAUUAUAGUGAAGUCAGAUUGACAUGAAAAUUCAAAUUAAAAAUGGAGGGGAUUAUGUGGGAUCAUGUGUGGGAGGAUGAAUUUUAAUUGUGUGUGGUGACUUCUAGAAGGCUUGUAGUUUGUACAGUAAUUUGGUUAACUACACAACUAAAAACCUUCUUAAAAUAAAAACUAAAAUAAAAAAAAUUCUGAAUCACAUCGAAAUAGCACAUAUGAUAUGCAACUGAAAGUUGGGAGAUGAAUAAAAAUACCAUUAAGUCAGAUUUCUAAAAAACUCACCGUUGACGAGAAAAAUCAAAAUAGAAACGGAUGAGAUUAUGUGGGUUAUGUGUGGGAGAGCGUAUUUUAAUUGUGUGGAGCGUAUUUUAAUUGUGUGGUGACUUCUAGGGGCCAUUAGAUUAGAUUCGUCCAAGGGCUUGGAUUAAAUUUAUUUAAAGGCUUAGAAUAAGUUUGUACAAUAAUUUGGUUUGUAUUUGAGCAAUUGCUUAUAUAUAUAUAUUUGGUUUUUAAUGUUCUUGGUCACCAAGAGGACUGAAAUUCAGAAAGAAAAAAAAAACGAACUGGGCCUGAAUUGUGAAAGCCCUGAACCAGGACCGAAAUUUGGGUUCGCUUCUCGGUGAAUUGGGAAAUUCUAAUAUGGUCAAUUGAUGGAAUGAUUAUUCUUCUGUUUCCGAACAGGAUUUUUUUAUCGAUACAACCCUUCUGUUUCAACAACUCCCCAAGUUGUGAUCCCCCCGCCCCGCCCCUCCCCUCCCCUCCAAAAGGUGAUUUUAGUAAUUACCAAGUAUAAGUUAUUGUCCAGCAGUAUCUCGACCCAAUAUUAGGCAUCUUGCCCGGUGGAAAAGCUACAUCUAGUUCCGAACCAGCGAUUUGGUUGAUAUCCAGUGUUGUUUUUCAAGCGUGGAAGUCACCUAAUUAGAAGUUGUCAAAAUUUUAUAGCGAUCAGAGCUAACCACAAGGUAUUCUUUUCUCUCAGAUUUGCAAUUACAUAUGAAUUUGUUUAAAUUGUAAUGAUCCUCUCAUUUUUAGGAAGUAAGGGUAAAAUUGAAAUUACAUUUUCGAAUUUAGUGGUUUCAACGAGACCCUGCUGUCUACUAGCCAUCAAUUCUUCUGGGCAUAUCCCCUUGUACUCAAAUCUUGUGAGUGAUCCACAUUUUAUACGGGUAUACUUUGUUUAAGAUACAAUUUAACUGCAAAUUUUACUUAUGUAUCAAGUUCGGAGUUCGGUGCAUUUAAUAGUUUUAAUUUAGUGUCUACUAUCUACCUUAUGUGAUUCUGAUAUGUAUGUAUGAUACUUGCACAAAAUUUUCUUCAAAUUUGGUAUUCUAUCUUGAUGAGCUUUUGCCUAUGCAAGUUACAAGUAUCAUUGUUUUACGCAAAUUAAGCUAUUAAUACUUUCUAAUCGAUAGCUUCAGGAUCACAAAUCUCUUAGAUUUUAGUACCUUCAAAAGGAAACUUUUUCUCUGGGGUUAAGCAUCAAUCUCAUGAUUAAUUACGUCCAAAUAUAUGAGAUUGGUCACCAUUUGCAAACAUUACCUAAUAUAAUCCUUAACUUCUUUUAUUUGUACAAGUCGUUUAAGUCGACUGGAAUUAAAAUUUUGAAGGAUUGAACAAAUCUACAAGUUUCAAGCUCGACCUCUCAAAUCCGUAUCUUACAGAUCUAGAGGAAAAAGUCUAUGUUUCUCCACCACAUCUUAUCUCAUUUUCAAGCAGUUCAACACAUGCCUCUGAUUUACAUAUCCAUAUGUUAGGGUUUACAUCUGAUAAGUGCAGUUUAAUUCAGUUAUUUGUGGUUGUAGUUGUUUAGGUUUCUAGUGCCUAUGUUAUUUAUAUAUAUUCUAGAAAUUGUUGUAGGUGUAUUACUUUUUGCAGUUGAAAGGAUGGAGAUGACGAAGUGUGUGUGUGUGUGUGUGUUUUAUUAUUUUUUUCUUUUUGCAAUCGAAGCCAUGUAAUUGCUACGUCAUUAUGUGACUUUUAAAUCACUGCCGUGUCAGUCGCCUGACAUGUUGGUUUGGGCAUUGAAAAUUCAACUGACUCUUGACCGGUUUGUGCAAAUUAAAGAAGUCGGUGACUGGACUGAGUCAUAUUUGUGAAAAGUGAUGAAAUUGGUAGAAUCGUAUGAAAUGAAUACCAGAUAACUCAGGGUAUUAUUAUGGGUAGGGGGUGUGAUUAUUGAUUGCCAUGACCAUUAUUCAUGAGGGAGGAGAUAUGAGUCUUGCCACUAGGCAAUCAACAAAACCUUGAAUAUGCAAUUUUUUUAGUCCAACUAAUUUCAAAAACCCAGUCAUGUUAUAUGCUGAUAUCAUUACUCUCUCAACCUUCAGUGCGGUGAUUGUUGCUUGAAAUUCACUUGGUUUCUUUAAUUGACUUGUACUCUGCUAUGUUAUGUUCUGUAAUAAUUUAUAAUUUUACUUAAAGAUACAGCUUCAACUGCAGAACUAAUUAUGACAUUAUAGUAUUAGCAACAAGCCUUUUGUUUGAUUGGCAGUUAUUUGGGGUAAGUGCAUGAUUAGGUUGCCAUGUCUUGUUACAGGUUAUUAGGGUACUUAAGAUGGAUCCUGAAAUAAAUCUGCAAGAUCUUCACCCAAAAAAGAGAUGGAGGAGUGAGUUGUAUGCUCAAUUUGUUCUUGCCUGGCAGAACAAUAAUCAGUUACCUGCUGAAGGCACUCCAGAAAAAAAUGUUAAUAGCUUGGAUGACAAUCAUCAGCUGGCUGUUUAUACUCCUGCUGACGCUUCUGCUUCUGAUGGAACUGUUACUCAACCUCCACAGAACCAGGCCGGUCGGAUUGCGCCAUCUGUGGAAGCUUACACUGUCCAGUGUUCACUCUGUUAUAAGUGGAGGCUUAUUCCUUCGAAGGAGAAAUUCGAGGAAAUCCGUGAACACUUAAUAGAGCAGCCUUUUGUAUGCAGAGCACUUUAUCAGUGGCGUCCUCAGAUAUCUUGCACUGUUAAAACUGAUCUUCAACCAGAUGGUAGCAAGUUAUGGGCAAUUGAAACGCCCAACAUUCCUCGACCCCCUCCUAGGUGGAAGCGCAUUUUGAAGAUCAGGGCUUCCCAAGGAACCAGAUUUGCAGAUGUGUACGUAUUACUCUACAUUUUUUUUUUAAAUAUGGUUUAGUCUUAAUAUCUGCUGCUUCGUUUCAGUUUAAAAGUUGAGCUUUUCUUUACUUUCAGGUAUUAUUAUACACCAUCGAACAAGAGACUGCGGUCCACAACUGAAGUUCAAAGGUACUCUUGUCUCUUAGGUUUGUUUUCAGUUGAGCAGAGCGUUCAAAAACUUGCAAAUCUUUAUGUUUGGUUUAAAUGAUAAUAUUGAUGAAGUGGUCCAAAAAUUAUAGAGUAAAGUGACAUAAGGUCCUUCUACCAUAAAACAUGGCCGGCGCACCAACUUGACCUCUUCUCUGUAGUGUUUUCGAUAUUUUUCAAACAUUAUUUAGAUUCUGUUUGUAUUUGGGCAUAUUUUUAAGAAUGUAAAUGUUUGCUCUAUAUUAACCUAUCGUCAUGCAAAUUUCGCAAACUAUUGUUAUGCCAAUGGGCGCUCAGAUAUAGAUGGUUUGCUUCCCUUCAUGUUAUAGUACAAUAUGUUUAAACAGUUGAACAACGUUGUGUUCUUGGCUUGAGUCCAGCACUGACAGUGCCUAUUUGCAAUAUUCCAUAUGGGAUUACCAUUCACAGGUAUUUGCGUGAACAUCCCAAUGAGGCGGAUGGAGUUGACUUGGGCCAAUUUUCUUUUAAAAUCCCACUGUUGGUGAAGGAGAAGUCCUUGGAAGAACAUACCACCCGUGUUUUACAAGACGGUCGCAAACGCCGCAGGAUGCCUUGAAAUGGAGGAAGAAAGGAGUGAUCUGUAUCCAAUCUGGAUAUGAAUAUUGAAAUGGGCUACAUAGAGUUGGUACUUUAGUCGUGUGACAUUUGAGUGAUUGUUGAAGACUUGGCAACUGCUUUUGAUGUAAUGACAUGUAAACUGUUAGUCUCCUUGUGAAUUCAAGAGUAGAGCCAUUUUCAUUUUAUCCAAUCGACUUUCUAGUUAGUAAUUACUAUAAUUUUGUAUAAUAGAAUAUACAGAUAUAAAACCAUUUCUUUACAUAAAAUGCUAUGGGCGUCAUGUGUUUUGUGAGAGGAGUUGUUGGGGCUUGUUUCAUAUUUACCAUGACAUUUCAGCCCAAUUUUAAGAGACUUUAUUGGUGGGUUUGGUUUAACAAAUGAUGAGUAUCAGUAUUGGUUUGCUCCCUUGUGUAUUAGACCAUAUAUAUGGUGCAUUUUGCAUAGGUCAAAAGUCAAGUUUAGCUUUUUUCUCAAAAGGCUGGCUGGCAUGAAGCUUGAUCUUAGUGAAAGUAUGAUCAAGCAGCUUACCCUUCUCGGAAUUGGCCACCAUAAUUGGUUCUACCCAAUUGGAAAACUGUUUGGGAACCCAAGGCAGCUUGUUCAAGAGAAGGGGUUUCCAGAACUCCUCGUGAUUGGUGCUUUUUAGAUCAUUACCUCCUGGAAGUCAGAGUGCGGAUACAUUUCUAGCACUGAAAGACGUGGGACGACAUCAUAUUGCAGGUAUACUACUAAUGCUGGAAAUUGUUAUUGGUUUUUUUUUCUUGCAGUACUAUUAAUACUUGUAGUUUAGCCGUAGUAAGUUAUCUUGUUCUAAAGGAUCAGCACAAGGGAAAAUUUCUGGUCUAACAAACAUAUCAUCACAUCCUAGUUGCAUCAUUAACGCAGCAUCUGUUGGAGUCACAAUGCCUCCAGUAGCAGCAUGCACAACAGGAAACCUUCCCCAUUUGCCUAGUCUGGGCUUACUAUGCAUUAGAAUCUCCAAUUUCCUUGAAAAGUGUGAAAAACUUUAUCUUCAUCCAUAUCGAUAAAAAUUAAAACCUAUGUUACUUGAACUCAUCUCCGUCCUAUUUUUGGACAUGGGCAUCGGGAAUGGUAACGAUGCACUAAUAAACAAGUAGGGUAAAAAUUAUUCAUUAAAAUCAUAUAACCAAAAAACUCACAUCUAACAUGUAUUAUGAGAGACUUUGCGAUUUAGGUGUUUUAAGGUUUUCUCAUCCCAUCUUCUCAUCCUUCUCUUUUGCAUCCUAAUUAGCACUUAGCAGCAAUGUCGAUGCUGUUGUUUUAUGCAGUUAUGGAUUAAAGUGUGAUAAUUUUUGUAAAUACAAGCCUGAUUAUUUCCCUAUUAUAUGUGAAGUUAUUAUAACAAAUGCUUUCAAAUUAAAAACCAUAUAGUUUUCUGGUUAAAAAAUGAUUUACAUUUAUAAAUAUAUCAUCUGAGCCUAGAGAACAGAGGGAAGUUAUUUUUAUUAUAGGUUAAAGUGACUAGUGUUCACCAAAUCUGGUAGAUGAAGAAUGAAAAUAUAGACUUUGCAGACUUGUAAUCUAGUACAAUUGAUGGAAUUGUGAUACUUUCGAUGAAUUUACACUUGUUAAUCAGGAUUAGUCUGUCAUGUGUAUGUCAGUAUGUGGCUGUUUAGGUUUGCUUAUUUGGAAAAGACAAGCACAAUUCUCCCGCAUAAAAAGUACCUAGUUGUGUUGUGUACAUGUGCCUGUUAGGUUUAGCUUAAUUUGAUAAAAUUUGCACUUGUCUUUUAUCAAAUUAAUAUAUUUUUGACUAUUUUUUUUUACUCCAAAUUCAUUUGUUUUGAUAAAUAAAUUUUAUAAUGGAGUAUCAAUCAUCAGGUGUAGAAUAUCUUAUUGGUAUCAUAGUAUGUAAGCAAUUAAAAAGUGCUUCUACUUAUUUACACAAACGGUUCAAGAAAAGCAGAAGCCAGAAGCAACUCCGACUUCUGCUAACCAAACAGGCACAUAGUAAAGUUCUGUUAAGACCACUUUUUAUCGGAGACCUCGGAGAACAUGCAUGUUUUGCAAAUAAAACAUUGCAAAACUUAUAAUUUUGCAAAUCAUAUUCAAUGAAAAUCAUUUUUUAAUUAAAAAUCUUGAAAAAUCAUACUCCUUCAGUUCCACCCAAAUGAUUAUAUUUGGGUGGGGCAUAGAGAUUAAGAAAAUAUGUAAAGUAAGAGUAUGAAAGAAAGAAAAGUGAGGAUAGUGAUGAAACCAUUUGAUAUUUAAUACAUAAAGUAAGGAUAGUGGUGAAAAGUAGUGGGGGUAGUUGAUUUUUAUAUUAUAAAAUUUUACUAUACUUAAUAAAUUUUGAAAUAUAGAAUGGAUGGGACAUCCCAAAAAGGAAAGUGUAAAUAAAUGGUUGAGACGGAGGGAGUAUAUGUAUUGCGAGGAAGACAUUGCAAGACUGGACAUUGCAAAACAUAGGUUGUGCAAAAGAAUGUCUGGCUUGCAAAACGUACAUUAUUUUUUGGAUUUUCAAUGAAAUAGCACUAUUCAAAUAACAUACUUUAUAAAAUAUAAUGUUGUUAAUGUUUUGGUGCAGAACAUGCAUCGUUUCCGAGGAUUCUGAUAAAAAGUGAUUUUGGAGGUCUCCGAUAAAAAGUGGUCUUCAUAGAACUUUACUCUCUAUAUCACAAACCUCCUUAAAAUACAAUAUAAAAACUAAAAAAAAUCUUAAAAUUAUAUUUAAAUAUAGCAAAAAUUGUAUUUAAAUCGUUAGGAGAUGUAGAAUAAUUAUAGUGAAGUCAGAUUGACAUGAAAAUUCAAAUUAAAAAUGGAGGGGAUUAUGUGGGAUCAUGUGUGGGAGGAUGAAUUUUAAUUGUGUGUGGUGACUUCUAGAAGGCUUGUAGUUUGUACAGUAAUUUGGUUAACUACACAACUAAAAACCUUCUUAAAAUAAAAACUAAAAUAAAAAAAAUUCUGAAUCACAUCGAAAUAGCACAUAUGAUAUGCAACUGAAAGUUGGGAGAUGAAUAAAAAUACCAUUAAGUCAGAUUUCUAAAAAACUCACCGUUGACGAGAA